UUUUCCUCUUUCACAGAAUAGAUAAGCGGUGUAAAUGUUCUGGCAAUGCAAGACUAUUUGGGUCAAGAAUUGCC
Molecule: long non-coding RNA, 74 nt
Organism: Etheostoma cragini (Arkansas darter)
Lineage: Eukaryota; Metazoa; Chordata; Actinopteri; Perciformes; Percidae
Exons: 3
Source: RefSeq, a predicted model, not a curated record